This 1304-nucleotide long non-coding RNA is filed under the name Actinia tenebrosa (Australian red waratah sea anemone). RNAcentral describes it as "uncharacterized LOC116295929". Lineage: Eukaryota; Metazoa; Cnidaria; Anthozoa; Actiniaria; Actiniidae. The record is from RNAcentral.
UUUUCAUGUUACACUAUCAACCAUGGUCAAAAUAUGUUAAUGCCCGGAUGACCAUGGUACACAGUCAACCAUGGUCAGCCAGAAUAUCUGAGUUAUCAUAACUCUCUACCCAUUUGCUAGCAAAAAUGUCAACUUUUUCCUUAGAAACUAACAAGAGACUAACACCAUAUAGUNGUAAGUAAGUAUGUAAGUGAGGCUUUUUAAAAGUUAACCUUUACCUACAUCAUGUAAAAAAUCGUUUUUGAAAUCCAUAUCUUAGAUUACCAGUGCAUUUCGAAUAAACUUCCACACAAUACAUUAUUGAAAAAUAUACUUAUUUAUUUCCUGUUACUGUUACCCACUGCUGAAACUAUUUCCAGUGCAUUUAAAAUAUAAACAUCUUCAAACCAUCUUUACACAUUUGCAAGUCCUGUUUCUUUCCACUAAGAAACUGUACUGUGACCGUGAGUGGACUGGUGAUUAGCCGGUAUGUACGCGGGCUCAUAGUCUGUGUUUUGGCGCCUAAUGUUGUUAUUCAUCGGUAACCGUUUCUUGUAGAGAAAAAUNCCGUAUAAUCUCUGUUCAAAAGAAGUUUUUAUGAGUUUUGGAAGCUGGAUUUGCUCAGCAAGAGUUUGAUAUCGUGCAAUGGGUUCAAUUUUUACUUUCCUGGAUUGCAAAAUCGGUGGCUGAUCAUGAGGACAUGGAUUGAAUCACUAUCAGGCAUGUUCAAGAAAGAUCUGUUACAAGAAGUAAUGUACAGAGCCGAGAAAAUAUUUUGAUAGGCUAAAAACCCACAAGGAAUCAUAGUGGGGAAUCAAAAUUCACAACAUACUUAGAAAAAGUCUUGCAGAAGCUAUUACAAAGUGAACUUCUCUCUUUAUGACAAUUUAUUUCUCAUUUAGUGAGAAAAUUAUGAAUUUUUUCGAGAAGGUCUUGCAAUUAUUCAUUUAUACUUAACAAAACUGUAUGGAAAAAGUAUUUUUAAGCAAAGUCAUUUUAUCUGUUUCUUUGAUCAAUUUUCUUUAAAAGAAUUCUAGUUAGCACAUUAAAAUGCAUAAACAGAUUGGCUGUAUACAUAAUCAAGUUAUUUUAUUGAGUGUAUUAUAAUAUGAAAAAAUAUAAAUAAUUCUAAAAAUUAUUACCAUACUGUAGAUGUGCACUAAGCAUUGAACAGAAAGUACAGUAAGUUGUCAGGACAAAAGAGCACCAGGCCAACCAAAUUUCAUGAUAGUAACUUUAGUGUAGAAACAAAAAUUUUGGCUAAUAUUUACAUGCUGAUUGUAUUCAAAUUAUUUUCUGUUGCAUUAAAAAAGUGAGUGCAAAUA